GCAGGCCCCAGAGGGCUGGGUGGAGCGUGUGGCACCGUGCUGCUGUCUGGGCACCCGGU
Molecule: microRNA precursor, 59 nt
Organism: Vicugna pacos (alpaca)
Lineage: Eukaryota; Metazoa; Chordata; Mammalia; Artiodactyla; Camelidae
Source: Ensembl